RNAcentral lists this transfer RNA (84 nucleotides) under Streptococcus pneumoniae. RNAcentral's name for it is "Undet-tRNA (Anticodon ???)". It matches the Rfam family "tRNA". Rfam says of the family: Transfer RNA (tRNA) molecules are approximately 80 nucleotides in length. Their secondary structure includes four short double-helical elements and three loops (D, anti-codon, and T loops). Lineage: Bacteria; Bacillati; Bacillota; Bacilli; Lactobacillales; Streptococcaceae. The record is from RNAcentral.
GCCGGGUGGCGGAACUGGCAGACGCACAGGCUUAAAAUCCUGCGAUUGGUAACGAUCGUACCGGUUCGAUUCCGGUCCUCGGCA